UACGUAGGAGGCGAGCGUUUUCCGGAUUUACUGGGAGUAAAGGGCGUGUAGGCGGGAGGAUAAGUUAGAUGGGAAAUUCCCAGGCUCAACCUGGGGGCUGCAUCUAAAACUAUUAUUCUUGAGUGCUGGAGAGGAAAGCGGAAUUCCUAGUGUAGCGGUGAAAUGCGUAGAUAUUAGGAGGAACACCAGUGGCGAAGGCGGCUUUCUGGACAGUAACUGACGCUGAGGCGCGAAAGCGUGGGGAGCAAACAGG
RNAcentral lists this ribosomal RNA (253 nucleotides) under uncultured bacterium. RNAcentral describes it as "partial 16S ribosomal RNA". It matches the Rfam family "Bacterial small subunit ribosomal RNA", at positions 524 to 776 of the family's 1533-position model. The record is from RNAcentral.